GAUGAACGCUAGCGGCAGGCUUAACACAUGCAAGUCGAGGGGUAUGCCGAUUUAUCGGCAGAGACCGGCGCACGGGUGCGUAACGCGUAUGCAAUCUACCUUUCACAGAGGGAUAGCCCAGAGAAAUUUGGAUUAAUACCUCAUAGUAUAGCAGUUUCGCAUGAAACCACUAUUAAAGUUCCAACGGUGAAAGAUGAGCAUGCGUCCCAUUAGCUAGAUGGUAAGGUAACGGCUUACCAUGGCUACGAUGGGUAGGGGUCCUGAGAGGGAGAUCCCCCACACUGGUACUGAGACACGGACCAGACUCCUACGGGAGGCAGCAGUGAGGAAUAUUGGUCAAUGGACGCAAGUCUGAACCAGCCAUGCCGCGUGCAGGAUGACGGUCCUAUGGAUUGUAAACUGCUUUUGUACGAG
This 414-nucleotide ribosomal RNA is filed under the name uncultured bacterium. Its description in RNAcentral is "bacterial SSU rRNA". It matches the Rfam family "Bacterial small subunit ribosomal RNA", at positions 28 to 444 of the family's 1533-position model. The record is from RNAcentral.